UACGAAGGGGGCUAGCGUUGCUCAGAAUCACUGGGCGUAAAGGGUGCGUAGGCGGCGCGGUAAGUCGGGUGUGAAAUCUCGGGGCUUAACUCCGAAACUGCAUUCGAUACUGCCGUGCUUGAGGACUGGAGAGGAGACUGGAAUUUACGGUGUAGCAGUGAAAUGCGUAGAUAUCGUAAGGAAGACCAGCGGCGAAGGCGAGUUCCUGGACAGUUACUGACGCUGAGGCACGAAGGCCAGGGAGGCAAACGGG
This 253-nucleotide ribosomal RNA is filed under the name uncultured bacterium. RNAcentral's name for it is "partial 16S ribosomal RNA". It matches the Rfam family "Bacterial small subunit ribosomal RNA", at positions 524 to 776 of the family's 1533-position model. The record is from RNAcentral.